This is a long non-coding RNA of Bubalus bubalis (water buffalo), 962 nucleotides long. RefSeq lists it as uncharacterized. The transcript has 2 exons. Lineage: Eukaryota; Metazoa; Chordata; Mammalia; Artiodactyla; Bovidae. The record is from RefSeq and is a predicted model, not a curated record.
UCCCCAAAGCUGCCGGGGCUCCGUGACUCAGCCCGGGGCCCUGGCUCCACCGGGCAGCUCCUGGCGGGCGCCUGUGCCUGUGUCCACCCGGGGGAGGGUCCCUGGGCACCAGCUCCCUCGGGAGGGCGGCCAUGUGCUGGGUCAGGAGCCCCACAUGGGGAGCAGGGGGCGCCCUGGCAGGACCGCACUGGGCACCUUGGAAGCUGAGCCUGCAGAGACAGACCCACCUCACCUCAUACAAUAAUCGAUUGUCUUCGUGGACCCCACACUUACUCAGGCUCACGCAGAGCGUGAGUGCCUGCGUGGACCUCCCAUGCACCCUGGGGCCCUGGGCCUCCGCCUUGCCCAUUGGCCACCCAUGGCUCCCCCGUGGGGCCUGGUCUCCAGGCGGCCACGGUCUGCCCAGGUUGGAACACACAGAACUCGUGACCACCAGAAAUCCUGCCUGGAGUUGGACAGUGAUCCACAUCAAGUCAUCAGCCUGAACUGGCUGUAUUUCUAGAUACUUCAUACUUUUAGAUAAAACGUAAAUGGUGUGCAGCACACCUAUCUUGAGAGUGAACUCUCACCCAUGAGACGCAUGCACAGACGCAGGUCACACACGUCUUUACCCCGGCGGGAGCGGAGCUCGCUCUCAGAAAGUCCCGUCGCUUCCAGUGGGCCCCGCCCCUAAUCAGAGGUAUCCGGCUUCCUGCUUUGGGUCAUCAGAGGCUUGGGGACCGUCCCAUGUAACCCAAGUCCUGCGUCUGCCCUGCGUCUCCACGAGGGGGCUGGCAGGGAGGUGGGCUGGUUUUGUUUUCCAGUGUCAGAGUUUUGUUCCUACUUAAUUCUGAAUGGAAUUCCAUUUCAUGGCUGAACCACAAUUUGUUAAUCCAUCUUUCUGAUAAUGAACAAACAUUUAAGUUUUCUUCCAUUUUUCCCCCUACAAUACAAAUAAAGCUGCUCUCAGUAAGUUCAUGUAA